GAUGAACGCUGGCGGCGUGCCUAAUACAUGCAAGUCGAGCGGACGGACGGGAAGUUUGCUUCGCUGAUGUUAGCGGCGGACGGGUGAGUAACACGUGGAUAACCUACCUAGAAGACUAGGAUAACUUCGGGGAACCGUAGCUAAUACCGGAUCAUAUUUUGAACCGCAGGGUUCAACAGUGAAAGACGGUCUUGCUGUCACUUGUAGAUGGUUCCGCGCUGCAUUAGCUAGUUGGUAAGGUAACGGCUUACCAAGGCAGCGAUGCAUAGCCGACCUGAGAGGGUGAUCAGCCACACUGGAACUGAGACACGGUCCAGACUCCUACGGGAGGCAGCAGUGGGGAAUAUUGCACAAUGGGCGAAAGCCUGACCGAGCAAAGCCGCGUGAGUGAUGAAGGUCUUCGGAUCGUAAAGCUCUUUUAUUAGGGAAGAACAUAUGUGUAAGUAAACGUGCACAUAUUGACGGUACCUAAUGAGAAAGCAACGGCUAACUACGUG
RNAcentral lists this ribosomal RNA (497 nucleotides) under uncultured bacterium. Its description in RNAcentral is "partial 16S ribosomal RNA". It matches the Rfam family "Bacterial small subunit ribosomal RNA", at positions 28 to 507 of the family's 1533-position model. The record is from RNAcentral.